AAUGCUUUAAAAACAUAAAAUAAGCUUUAUCAUUCUUAGCCAAUUACAUCAAGAUAAUAUAAUUACUCUAAGACUACUUUUGGCAUUAACAUAACUAGAAUGCACAUACAACCUAUUAUUAUUACAUAAAGAGAAAUAUUAUGCCGCAGCAGACUAUAACACAAGCUAUUUCUUCCUAACACCCCACAGCAGCAACACUUGGGCUGCAAAACAAAAAAGGCUGUCCUAACGAUGCCUCCGAGAAAGAAAAUGACACUCAAACGUGCUGCCAUUGCCAUGACCGAACCUGUAAAGGCCAAAACAUAUGUUUCUCCUUCAUUAGAGAGCAAAUCUUUGACUCUAGGCAGUGCCUUCAACAUGGAAGGGAAACACCAUUGGCAGGAACAACCAGCUAAGGGCUGUCCUAGGAAAAGAUGAUUUGUAGAGGCAUGAUAUAUUUUCAUAUGCUUAUAAUAUCUUUUCAUAUUAUCUUUUCAUUAUGUGUCCCAUGGAGCUCCUUAUCUACCGAUUUGCAAAAUAGGCUAUAUUUUAUAGAUAUUUGGUUGUUAAACCUCGAGGCAUUUUGUGGACCUCAGUUUCCGUUUGAGGUGUAGCCUUAUCAGCCUCAACCUGCUUCAGUUACUUUGAGGCAGAGAUAAUCUUUUGAGGCAGUGUUCUCUGCCACAAUAGACAAUUUGGGGCAAGAGUAUCUGAGACAUGGGGAGGCUAUCUCGUAAUCUCUUUUGAGAUAGACUUUGAGGCUGAUUUGGUUGCUUUGUUAUAAAAACGGCCCAGAAAUCACAUCGGAAACCAAAUCGCGGAAGAAAACGCCAUAGGAGAUCCAAACAUGAUGACGACACCGAGGUACGAUAUUUGAUAAUGGAGUUCAGCCGAGGCAUACAUCUUCGGGGCACUGAUUACGGGCACUCCUUCCCGAUCCAGUAUAUUAGAGCGUAUCAAAGUUAUAACGACUCACGGCUGGUCGCCGCCGGCAGCCACUCCCUCUCGCUAUGCUAAAUCGCCAUGCGGUUACAACAGGCAUGCUCCUCUAUUUAUGAGAGAUCCUAGGAUAGACUCCGACUCAUACUCGAGUCCUAAUACCUAUUACAACUCCAAGUCCUAAAUUGUAACCGACUUUGUAUACAUAUUCGACAUAAACUCUAACAUGUUUCAUGUUGUCUAUGAUCCUGUAGUGCUUUUCUGUUGUGGCAUGCUAAUUUUCUAGUCCAACAUACGGAGUCUCGCUCCGGUGCUUUCUACUUGGAGUAGAAACUAAUUUGAGUCGUUGAUCAUAUCUAAUUGUAGGAUUGAGAUCUAUUUCUACUCCCACCAGAGUUAGUGGUAAUAUAUAUGUGGAGGGGUAUAUUCGUCCAAGGAUCAUAAUUCGCGUAGGGGUAUUAUGUAAUUUAUCAGUAUCGACGCCAUUCCCAUCCAUCCCCGCCUCUGUUGCCGUCCAUCUCCCUCGUCGCCUCCGUCUUCCAUCCUAGCGUCUCCUCCCCCUCCAGCACCGUCCCCUUCUCCGCUCCCUCCGUCGAAGCUCGUCUCCACGCCGCCUUGUGAGCCCCCUCCGUUGCCGUCAUCCUCCCCCACCCCCUUCUUCAGCGAGUUGCCUCACAUCGUCGCGCCUCCACCUGCCACCGCCGCCACAUUCUCCUCGCCAUCAGCCUUCUCCGCCACAUCACCUCCACCUGCCACCGCCGCCACAUCCUUCUCCACUCCACCGCCGCCCCCUUCUCCACUCCCCUCGGUGAUCUCGCAUCUCCAUCCGGGAUCUCCAGAGCUCCGCCCUAUCCCGCCGCUACCCACGUCGACCCACCUUCUGCCGAGUUCCACCUCAGACCCUAGCACCGCGCCACUCACCGCCGCUGAGCCUUCGUCCUCCUCGCUAUCCCCUUCCUCGCCGUCGGCCACCUCCCCCACGCUCGGCUCUAGCCCCGUCCAUCUCCGCCCGCCGUUGCUCCCACAGCCACGUGGGAGAGCCCCCAAUCCAUCACCCCACAAGCGGAGGACGCAGCCUUUGGAUCCAAUGGCAGCGCACGCCUGGUUCCCCUUCGUCCCCAUGCCGCCUCAAGCACCUCCAUCGGAGCAGGAGGAAGACUCGCCAUUGGAGAAUAGCGGAAGGUAAUGCCCGGAAAUUUGCAGUAAGACGCGCUCCCCUAAUGCCUCCCCUCAACUUUCAAUCUCAAGUUGUUUUUUUUUUAAAUUUCGAUUUGAUUUCUGAGGCUACCGGUUUCCUGUUAAUCUGCAGCAUGAAGGAUGAGAUGAUCCAUCUAUAUCUGAACAACUCCACCAUGGCGUUGGCGAUCCUGAGAGAGGCAUGCUUGCUGGGUGCUCCGAGGUGCCAUGGCAUUGGGAUGCUAGUGGGAGCAUUCGGUAUUUGCAAGGAGCAAGUGCGCGAAGCCAUCUUGGAAGGUACGUGUGGCUGCUUCGUUGUAUCAAUUGGAUUUGGCGCGCAAUGUUGUGCUAUUGAAUUAUGAUGUCUAAAGUUGUCAUCUUUCUGAAUGAAACUAAUGUUCACCUGUUGUGGGGGCUUUAGAAUGGGUGGCUAUUACUAGUGGCUAUAUUUGCAUUGAAUUAUUAUGCCACCAUCAAUUAAUGACGAGUAGAUGAUGCAUGGUGCUUCUUUCCUUUGAACUCUGGUUGCCUUUUCACCAAUUAUAUUGCUCGUUUUGGUUCAGUAAAUGCACUGUUUAUUUCAGAACAAAACGGUUAAUGUUAACAGCAUUUUUACUUAUUUACUCUGAACCACCUGCUGAUCUUGUUUUUUGCUCCGUGAUUGUUGUACAUAUCAUGGUUAGCUAGCUGUAACAGUUUAUUUCUCAACUUGCCCUUUUGACAUAAGUGCUCAUGGAAUUUACUUGUUCCCAUGUGAUCAUCUGAUCUCUUAUAUGUAGUUGCCUCCUCUUUGUAUAAAGGAAAGAAACUUGAAUAAUUGUAAAAGGCAACAAAGGUUGAGACCAGUCAAAUAUUGAAGGGGUAAAUAAAUUGUUACUAAGGGCCUCACUUGAUGAAUAAAAGAUAGCAUGGUAUGGUAAUUGUCCUUUAUAGUAUUGUUUUGCAUGGCUGAUUUUAGCAUGAGAAAAACCCAUCCUCUUGGACAAAAAUCCAUUUAUAUCGUGGUUGGUACUUGGUAGCAGUGGACAGUCUUUAAUCUUGUUCAGUUUGGACUUGAUCAAAAUUCCUGCUAAGUCUUGUCGAAAUAUAUUCAUAUCUUGCUGCAUAAAGUAAAGGGAGAACAUUUUAUAUGAUUUUCAUAAUGGGAAGCUUUGGUGCAAAAUAUGAAUAGAGUUCAUUGUGGUUGCCUGAAAUCAUUGUAUUGAUGUCAGAAAUCAUUGUUGAUUCACACAGAUAAUAGACAGAAAAGGGAAUGAAUUGAGCAACCCAUAUACCAACGUUACAUGUCCUUCAGUUAUUGGAUCAACCACAGGAAGGUUAAAAAUAUUGACCAUAUAAGAGGAAUUUUGCUUAAGUUCUAAAAGAAUAUCUGAAUCACAUCGUAAUUCAUAAGGAAUUUCGCUUAAGUUCUAAUUAACUUUGGUUGAUCAUGUUGCCUGACUCACUACAUAAUAUUUGGAGUGUUAAUGCCAAUUCAUAUAGUGCUCUACUAUCACUAUUUUAGUAGUGCAUAUACUGUUAAUCAAAAUAAUUUCAUUUUGCAACUUGUAUAUAUAUCUCUACAUGAGGACUUUGCAAAGCAACAUCUCAGGGGCCUACAAUGAGUUGUUGCUCAGAUUCAGUUCCAAAAUGAGACACAGUUCUCACCAGGAUUACAGGUGACGGAACACUUUGUCGUGGCUACAUAGCACUUGCAUGCAGAGGGGUAGCAGCUUAUGAAGCCACCUCUUGUUUCAUCAGAGCCAGCAGGACGUUGCGGAGCUACCAGGUCUACUUCAGCAUGAGGAAGCAGUCAACCAACAAUAUCGGCAGCAAGCACAUGCUGGGAAUGAGACUGUGUUAAUCUUAUUAAAUCAAAAAAUUAGUUCAUGUUAUGCCAUUUAUUUAGUGUAAUUAUAGUUAUAUAUGUCCUGUUGUAUGCUUAUGCUGCCAUCGGCCAAUCUAUGCCGUUAGGAUAUGCAUGUAAGAACUCAGAAGCGGUGUAUCAAUCGAAAAUCGAUUGAUUUUUUUUCUCACAAAACAAGCAUAUGAUAGAUAAAUGAUCAAUUGAAAAUCGGUUGAAUUUUUUUCUCACAAAACAAGCAUAUGAUAGAUAAAUGGUCUCUGAUCUUU
This is a non-coding RNA of Oryza sativa Japonica Group (Japanese rice), 4206 nucleotides long. NCBI's taxonomy places the organism in Eukaryota, Viridiplantae, Streptophyta, Magnoliopsida, Poales, Poaceae. The record is from RefSeq and is a predicted model, not a curated record.